GUGGGGAAUCUUGCGCAAUGGGCGAAAGCCUGACGCAGCAACGCCGCGUGGGGGAUGAAGGCUUUCGGGUUGUAAACCCCUUUCAGCAGGGACGAAUCAAGACGGUACCUGCAGAAGAAGCCCCGGCUAACUACGUGCCAGCAGCCGCGGUAACACGUAGGGGGCAAGCGUUGUCCGGAUUUAUUGGGCGUAAAGAGCUCGUAGGCGGCUCGAUAAGUCGGGUGUCAAAUCCUCAGGCUCAACCUGGGGCACCACCCGAUACUGUCGUGGCUAGAGUCCGGUAGGGGAGCGUGGAAUUCCUGGUGUAGCGGUGAAAUGCGCAGAUAUCAGGAGGAACACCAGCGGCGAAGGCGGCGCUCUGGGCCGGAACUGACGCUGAGGAGCGAAAGCGUGGGUAGCAAACAGGAUUAGAAACCCCAGUAGUCC
RNAcentral lists this ribosomal RNA (426 nucleotides) under uncultured bacterium. RNAcentral's name for it is "bacterial SSU rRNA". It matches the Rfam family "Bacterial small subunit ribosomal RNA", at positions 354 to 796 of the family's 1533-position model. The record is from RNAcentral.